This 1017-nucleotide long non-coding RNA is filed under the name Cricetulus griseus (Chinese hamster). RNAcentral describes it as "lncRNA (ENSCGRG00015037595.1)". The record is from RNAcentral. Lineage: Eukaryota; Metazoa; Chordata; Mammalia; Rodentia; Cricetidae.
GUUGUUUUCUGCUGUUGGUUUUGUUUUGUUUUGUUUUGUUUUUUAAUGAGCCUUUUGCAUCCUGGGACCUGGAAUGAGCCAUCCUAGUCAGCAUCACUCACCUUUUCUCCAGGAUGCCUUCUCUCACCCAAAAAUAUAACCUAUUGAUAUGGGAACAUUGGGUGCCUUUGAGAACAACAGAGCCUUGCUCAGCUCUUGGUGAGCUUGGCUCAAAAAGCCAGGAUCCCAGAAACUUGAUGGCCACUUUGAGCCAGUGGCUUUUGGGUUAUUGUCUGGAAACUCCAAAAAAGUAAAAUUUGUGAGCCAGAGCCUGAGAGAGACUCCUGUGGGAGGGAGAUGGAGUACAUCAAACCACCAAGCUGCUAAUCCAGGAGUUCUUUAAAGGAUUUACAGCAGAAAGUAGGAAAUCAUUUCUAUCAAGGGAGGAGGGAAGCUCACAAGGCUCAGACAGUCACAAAAUCAGCAACCCCCCCCACCACAAGGGUCACCUUGGAUACUCUACAAGUCAAGUCAGGACACCUGGAGAAGAUGCUCUUCUGCCAGCAUUGGGGAAGAAUGAAGAAGACUGCCCAAGUUGACCAAGAAGAUGGUCUGGUUUGUGAAGAGCUGAGGCGAUCAUGUUCCAGCUCCUUCCCUGAGGCAGGAGUCAUAUUGCAUAGGGGGAACUAGGCAACAUGGGGAACUAGGGACACUUUGCCAGCUGAAUUUUGAGGCAUCAGCAUCACCCACGAAUACAACAACAAUGAGGGGCAACCCCCAUCCAUGGACCACACCUGGCAUCUGGAAGGGGCUUCCUCUUGGAAGGAUUGCUGUAGGAGCUAAAUGGGGUAGAUACACAACUUUGAUUUUAAAAAAAAAAUAUGAACAAUACCAUCAAAAAGGAAAAUGGAGCCAGGCAUUGGUGGCGCACGCCUUUUAUCCCAGCACUCGGGAGGCAGAGGUAGGCAGAUCUCUCAAGUUCAAGGCCAGCCGGGUCUCCAGAGCGAGUGCCAGGAUAGACUCCAAAGCUAAACAGAG